UACGUAGGGUGCAAGCGUUAAUCGGAAUUACUGGGCGUAAAGCGUGCGUAGGCGGUUUGCCGUGUCCUGUGUGAAAGCCCCGGGCUCAACCUGGGAAUUGCAUGGGAAACUGGCAGGCUUGAGUGUGGCAGAGGAGGGUGGAAUUCCGCGUGUAGCAGUGAAAUGCGUAGAGAUGCGGAGGAACACCGAUGGCGAAGGCAGCCCUCUGGGCCAACACUGACGCUCAGGCACGAAAGCGUGGGGAGCAAACAGG
RNAcentral lists this ribosomal RNA (253 nucleotides) under uncultured bacterium. Its description in RNAcentral is "partial 16S ribosomal RNA". It matches the Rfam family "Bacterial small subunit ribosomal RNA", at positions 524 to 776 of the family's 1533-position model. The record is from RNAcentral.